GCCUUAUAGCUAGCCGUAACCCAAACCUAAAUAUUCAUAACAAAUAACCACUCAUAAGCCUAAAAUACUACACUAAACCAUUCUUCCCCCUUAGUAUGUGCGACAGAAAAGGAUAACCGAGCAAUAGAAAAAGUACCGCAAGGGAAAGCUGAAAGAGAAUUGAAACAACGCGUCAAAGCACAAAAAAGCAAAGAUUUACCCUUGUACCUUUUGCAUCAUGAUUUAGCCAGAAAAAUCAGGCAAAGAGCCCUUCAGUCUGAAGCCCCGAAACUAAACGAGCUACUUCGAGACAGCAUAUAAGAGCCAACCCGUCUCUGUAGCAAAAGAGUGGGAAGAUCUCCAAGUAGAGGCGACAAACCUAACGAGUUUAGUGAUAGCUGGUUGCUUAGGAAAUGGAUAUAAGUUCAGCCUUACACCCUCUUAAACCAAAAUUAUAAGACCCAAUAAGAAAAUAAGAUGCACGUAAGAGUUAGUUAAAGGAGGUACAGCUCCUUUAAAACAGGACACAACCUUAACAGAUGGGUAAAGAUCAUAUUACACAAGGUAACCUGCUACAGUGGGCCUAAAAGCAGCCACCUGAACAGAAAGCGUUGAAGCUCAGACAGGAACAAACCUAUUAUACCGAUAAAAAAUCUAACCCCCCUACCUAUACUAAGCCAUAUUAUGACCCCAUAACAGAAAAUAUGCUAAAAUUAGUAACAAGAAAGUACGACUUUCUCCUAGCACACGUGUAAGUCAGAUCGGACCCACCACUGACAAAUAAAGAACUCAACAGAAGAGAGCAAUGCGAACUUAAUAAUAACCAAGAAAACUUCACACAAGCCAUCGUUAACCCAACACAGGAGUGCAAUAAUUAGGAAAGAUUAAAAAGAGCAAGAAGGAAUUCAGCAAACCCGGGCCUCGCCUGUUUACCAAAAACAUGGCCUCCCGCAAUCCAUAAAUGAGAGGUCUGACCUGCCCAGUGACAACCUGUUCAACGGCCGCGGUAUUUUAACCGUGCUAAGGUAGCGUAAUCACUUGUCUUUUAAAUGAAGACCUGUAUGAAUGGCACCACGAGGGCCCUACUGUCUCCUCCUCCCAAUCAGUGAAAUUGAUCUGCUCGUGCAAAAGCGAGCAUAAAACCAUAAGACGAGAAGACCCUGUGGAGCUUAAGAUACAGAAUUAAUCAUGCCUAGAAGCUAAUCCCUAAAGACAAAACAGCAACACAAGCAUAAUGACCCUAAUUUAACAUAUCUUCGGUUGGGGCGACCAUGGAGGACAACAAAGCCUCCAAGAAGAAUCAGGAGAUCAGUCCCACUAAUCUCUAAGAGCCAAGAGCUACACCUCCAAGCAACAGAAACUUCUGACUAAUAAUGAUCCGGGCCAUGCCCGAUCAACGGACCAAGUUACCCCAGGGAUAACAGCGCAAUCCUUUCCCAGAGCCCAUAUCGCCGAAAGGGUUUACGACCUCGAUGUUGGAUCAGGACAUCCUGGUGGCGAAAAUUUUACCAAGGGUUCGUUUGUUCAACGAUUAAAGUCCUACGUGAUCUGAGUUCAGACCGGAGUAAUCCAGGUCAGUUUCUAUCUAUGAAUUUUCCCUUCCUAGUACGAAAGGGCCGGAAGGAGAGGGGCCAAUACUUAAAGCACGCCACACCCCCACACAACGAAAACAACUAAAAUAAUAAGGGGGGAUCUAACCACAACCCUAGAUAAGGGUUA
RNAcentral lists this ribosomal RNA (1698 nucleotides) under Papyrocranus congoensis. RNAcentral's name for it is "16S rRNA". It matches the Rfam family "Bacterial large subunit ribosomal RNA". The record is from RNAcentral. Lineage: Eukaryota; Metazoa; Chordata; Actinopteri; Osteoglossiformes; Notopteridae.